CUGAAAUCAAGUGUGACGACCCGCUGAACUUAAGCAUAUCAAUAAGCGGAGGAAAAGAAAUCAAAUGAGAUUUCCGUAGUAGCUGCGAGUGAACUGGAAUCAAGCCUAUUGCCAACUCUUAUGUUUCGUACAAUAAGAGAUGAGGUGUAAAGGAGUUUCGUGUUGCACAGACGCACGGUAUAAAUAUUAUCGAGUGAGUUCUCAGAGAAGGUGAAAAGCCUGUUUGGCUGUGUCUGUCUGUUGAAUCGGAAUUCUUACGAGUCUAGUUGUUUGAGAGUACAACUUAAAGCUGGUGGUAAAUUUCAUCAAAGGCUAAAUAUAUGAGGGGACUAAUAGCGAACAAGUACCAUGAGGGAAAGUUGAAAAGAACUCUGACGAGAGAGUUCAACAGUGCGUGAAACCAUAUUGAGUAAAACAGAUAACUGUGUCGUUAUGCGGUGUGUCUAUCAACAGUAUAUCGGGUAUUGCGAAUCGGCGAGUGUGAGCUGUUUAUUCAGACGAUCGCUCGCUGCUAGCAUAGCUCGAGGUUCUGUGUACUAGUGCACAUCCAAUCAUUGAGAAACUAUACGGCUGCGGUAUCGGUGUUCAUCAGUCCCCGCCUAGCGGGAAGUUGUGUACUGGGCUCAGCUGGCUGUGUAGUUUAGCUGUGUGACAGCUGUGUGACGCGUUUGUUGAAUGUGCCUGCUUUGUCUGCGAAUCGGUUUAUUCCUUUUUGCGGUGAGUAUGGUACAGUAGGCGAGCGUCUCGCCAUCAAUGGUUGACAUUAGUUAUUUGACCC
Molecule: ribosomal RNA, 778 nt
Filed under: Typhlodromips okinawanus
Lineage: Eukaryota; Metazoa; Arthropoda; Arachnida; Mesostigmata; Phytoseiidae
Description: eukaryotic LSU rRNA
Rfam family: Eukaryotic large subunit ribosomal RNA
Source: RNAcentral